RNAcentral lists this ribosomal RNA (347 nucleotides) under uncultured bacterium. RNAcentral describes it as "partial 16S ribosomal RNA". It matches the Rfam family "Bacterial small subunit ribosomal RNA", at positions 338 to 699 of the family's 1533-position model. The record is from RNAcentral.
CCUACGGGUGGCAGCAGUGGGGAAUAUUGGGCAAUGGGCGCAAGCCUGACCCAGCAACGCCGCGUGAAGGAAGAAGGCUCUCUGGUUGUUAACUUCUUUUUUCAGGGACGAAGCAAGUGAUGGUACCUGAGGUAUAAGACACGGCUAACUACGUGCCAGCAGCAGCGGUAAUACGUAGGUGGCAAGCGUUAUCCGGAUUUACUGGGUGUAAAGGGCGUUUAGGCGGUACUGCAAGUCAGAGGUGAAAACCAUGGGCUCAACCUAUGCCCUGCAUUUGAAACUGUAGUGCUUGAGUACUGGUGAGGCAGACGGAAUGCCUAGUGUAGCGGUGAAAUGCGUAGAGAUUA